Molecule: ribosomal RNA, 749 nt
Filed under: uncultured bacterium
Lineage: Bacteria
Description: bacterial SSU rRNA
Rfam family: Bacterial small subunit ribosomal RNA
Source: RNAcentral
AUUGAACGCUGGCGGCAGGCCUAACACAUGCAAGUCGAGCGGAUGACGGGAGCUUGCUCCUUGAUUCAGCGGCGGACGGGUGAGUAAUGCCUAGGAAUCUGCCUGGUAGUGGGGGGCAACGUUUCGAAAGGAACGCUAAUACCGCAUACGUCCUACGGGAGAAAGCAGGGGACCUUCGGGCCUUGCGCUAUCAGAUGAGCCUAGGUCGGAUUAGCUAGUUGGUGGGGUAAUGGCUCACCAAGGCGACGAUCCGUAACUGGUCUGAGAGGAUGAUCAGUCACACUGGAACUGAGACACGGUCCAGACUCCUACGGGAGGCAGCAGUGGGGAAUAUUGGACAAUGGGCGAAAGCCUGAUCCAGCCAUGCCGCGUGUGUGAAGAAGGUCUUCGGAUUGUAAAGCACUUUAAGUUGGGAGGAAGGGCAGUAAGCUAAUACCUUGCUGUUUUGACGUUACCGACAGAAUAAGCACCGGCUAACUCUGUGCCAGCAGCCGCGGUAAUACAGAGGGUGCAAGCGUUAAUCGGAAUUACUGGGCGUAAAGCGCGCGUAGGUGGUUUGUUAAGUUGGAUGUGAAAGCCCCGGGCUCAACCUGGGAACUGCAUCCAAAGCUGGCAAGCUAGAGUACGGUAGAGGGUGGUGGAAUUUCCUGUGUAGCGGUGAAAUGCGUAGAUAUAGGAAGGAACACCAGUGGCGAAGGCGACCACCUGGACUGAUACUGACACUGAGGUGCGAAAGCGUGGGGAGCAAA